UUUCUAGCCUGCUGCCUUCUGAUUGGCUGAACCAGACCUCCCACAGAUCACACCUCUCCACCGUCCAUCCUUAGCUGAUCCAACGGUCCCCGCUCCUUCUACUCUCUAUCUGUGCCUUCCCUGAUUCUUAUCCUCUCACAGCCACACGAACGAGAGCACCAUGACAGCAGCAGCCGCGCCCGAGGAAAUCCACAGCUCGCAGCCAUCGGACGCCGCCGUCCGCGCGAAGGGCCGCCGCCCGAACCUCCCACCACAGCACGCCGCAAUGGAGGCCGAACGCCCAUGGCAUCGUCCGAGCUCACCUCCCAGCAGUCAUACUCCUUUGAAAUCAUCGGGAUCUGGCUGGAGCCGGACGCCAACGCCCCGUUCCUACCUCCCCGCCUCGCUUGGGUCGUCGGCCACCUCGACGAUGUCAUACCGCUCGCGGGAUCCAGCGCCACCGUUGGCUGGCCACUUCCUCCUGGAGGAGACGCCUCCACAUCGGCGCCUCCUCACAUGAGCAGCAGCGAACGCCUCGCUAAGGGCAUCUCUGGUGGUGUUUUUUUAAAUUGUUUUAAAGAAGUUUGCCAGAUCUGUGCCUAAAAAACAAUGGCGUUGAACUCCGAUUGACGCCCCGCGAAGGCUGGGCGGCGCUUGAUGUGGUGGCUGCAGAAUAUCUCCGGGCAAAAUAGUAGGCCAGAUCUAGGGGGGAAAUCUUUAAUUCCAAGUUUUUGGUUGUGUAUUUUUUCCUUUUGGUAAAAAUAAAAUUUAGUUAUCUGGUAUGUUUAUG
Long non-coding RNA from Triticum dicoccoides, 769 nucleotides. RefSeq lists it as uncharacterized. The record is from RefSeq and is a predicted model, not a curated record. NCBI's taxonomy places the organism in Eukaryota, Viridiplantae, Streptophyta, Magnoliopsida, Poales, Poaceae. The transcript has 2 exons.